GACGAACGCUGGCGGCGUGCUUAACACAUGCAAGUCGAACGGAAAGGCCCUGCUUUUGUGGGGUGCUCGAGUGGCGAACGGGUGAGUAACACGUGAGUAACCUGCCCUUGACUUUGGGAUAACUUCAGGAAACUGGGGCUAAUACCGGAUAGGAGCUCCUGCUGCAUGGUGGGGGUUGGAAAGUUUCGGCGGUUGAGGAUGGACUCGCGGCUUAUCAGCUUGUUGGUGGGGUAGUGGCUUACCAAGGCUUUGACGGGUAGCCGGCCUGAGAGGGUGACCGGCCACAUUGGGACUGAGAUACGGCCCAGACUCCUACGGGAGGCAGCAGUGGGGAAUAUUGCACAAUGGGCGGAAGCCUGAUGCAGCAACGCCGCGUGCGGGAUGACAGCCUUCGGGUUGUAAACCGCUUUCGCCUGUGACGAAGCGUGAGUGACGGUAAUGGGUAAAGAAGCACCGGCUAACUACGUG
This 468-nucleotide ribosomal RNA is filed under the name uncultured bacterium. RNAcentral describes it as "partial 16S ribosomal RNA". It matches the Rfam family "Bacterial small subunit ribosomal RNA", at positions 28 to 507 of the family's 1533-position model. The record is from RNAcentral.